Molecule: ribosomal RNA, 417 nt
Filed under: uncultured bacterium
Lineage: Bacteria
Description: bacterial SSU rRNA
Rfam family: Bacterial small subunit ribosomal RNA
Source: RNAcentral
UAUUGGUCAAUGGACGAGAGUCUGAACCAGCCAAGUAGCGUGAAGGAUGACUGCCCUAUGGGUUGUAAACUUCUUUUAUAUGGGAAUAAAACAGGGUAUGCAUACCCUCUUGCAUGUACCAUAUGAAUAAGGAUCGGCUAACUCCGUGCAAGCAGCCGCGGUAAUACGGAGGAUCCGAGCGUUAUCCGGAUUUAUUGGGUUUAAAGGGAGCGUAGGUUGAUUGUUAAGUCAGUUGUGAAAGUUUGCGGCUCAACCGUAAAAUUGCAGUUGAAACUGGCAGUCUUGAGUACAGUAGAGGUGGGCGGAAUUCGUGGUGUAGCGGUGAAAUGCUUAGAUAUCACGAAGAACUCCGAUUGCGAAGGCAGCUCACUGGACUGCAACUGACACUGAUGCUCGAAAGUGUGGGUAUCAAACAGG